GAUGAACGCUGGCGGCGUGCCUAAUACAUGCAAGUCGAGCGAACGGACGAGAAGCUUGCUUCUCUGAUGUUAGCGGCGGACGGGUGAGUAACACGUGGAUAACCGACCUAUAAGACUGGGAUAACUUCGGGAAACCGGAGCUAAUACCGGAUAAUAUUUUGAACCGCAUGGUUCAAAAGUGAAAGACGGUCUUGCUGUCACUUAUAGAUGGAUCCGCGCUGCAUUAGCUAGUUGGUAAGGUAACGGCUUACCAAGGCAACGAUGCAUAGCCGACCUGAGAGGGUGAUCGGCCACACUGGAACUGAGACACGGUCCAGACUCCUACGGGAGGCAGCAGUAGGGAAUCUUCCGCAAUGGGCGAAAGCCUGACGGAGCAACGCCGCGUGAGCGAUGAAGGUCUUCGGAUCGUAAAACUCUGUUAUUAGGGAAGAACAUAUGUGUAAGUAACUGUGCACAUCUUGACGGUACCUAAUCAGAAAGCCACGGCUAACUACGUG
This 497-nucleotide ribosomal RNA is filed under the name uncultured bacterium. RNAcentral describes it as "partial 16S ribosomal RNA". It matches the Rfam family "Bacterial small subunit ribosomal RNA", at positions 28 to 507 of the family's 1533-position model. The record is from RNAcentral.